This 907-nucleotide small RNA is filed under the name Arabidopsis thaliana (thale cress). RNAcentral describes it as "ATSL007740". The record is from RNAcentral. Lineage: Eukaryota; Viridiplantae; Streptophyta; Magnoliopsida; Brassicales; Brassicaceae.
AAGUUUGAAAUGAUAAGUUGAUAAGUUCGAUUUUUUAAAGUAUAGGUCUUCAUAUUGUUGUGUUGUUCUUUUUUUGUAUAGUUGGUAAUUAAAACUCAUAAUUCUUGAUGUUAAUGUAUCAAAUAUGAACUUACCAUUCCAAGCUUUUCUUCUUAUGUUUUGCUUCUUGUUUCGUCUUAUAUUUUGCUCAUUUUUUUGCCUUUUUUCUUAUAUUUUAAAUUUUACAACGAUUCCAAUUUGUCUAAUGUAUUAAUCGAUAGUGUUGUAGUAAAAUGUAUUUUAUUUAUUAAAUUCAUUAUAAAAAAUAAUUUAAGAUUUUUUAAAAAUAUUUCACAUGGUAAUUUCGAUAAGAAACUUGGUUGGACCUAUGUAAAUACAUAAGAAGGAAGGCAACCACAUGGAUGAAGAAGGACAGCGGGAUGGAACUAAGUCGUGCUAGCGAUAUACACGGUGUUUGUUGACAAGUAUACUGGUGUUCUCCCCUCUUAAGAUCGCCAACACCAACGACAAGGCACUGCUUCACCCAUUCCACCACGGAUCGUUUCUUAGCCAAUUGACCAAAAACGAGCAUGACUGUGGUAAUGACACACUGAUGAUGGUAUGCUUAUGUUUGUGAGCCGGGAUUUUCAUACUAUUACUUCGCGCUAGAGGUUUUCUCAUCGGGAAAAUUGGAUGGCCUAUCCCUCUCUUGUUUUAACAUGCUUUGCAAUUGAACAUGUAAUAUUGGACAUUUCUUGCUCUGUUAUAGGGCCUAUAUAUACAUCCCCUUGGAUCAAUCUCCAGAAAACGAAAAUUACUUGAACAUGAGCUUUGCUUAUUUAACUACCCGGCAACAUAGCUUAAAAGUGAGGUAUUUAGGUCAUUUUUAUGUGGAUCUACGCGUAUCGCUUGAUUUUCUUUAAACUUU